UAGACAACGCCAUCUCUCCUCCCUCUCUCCCUCUCUCCCUCUACGCAAAGCCAAAUAUUUAUAAGAAAAUCAUUAAACAUAAAAAAAUUCAAAAUCCAGUAUUGGGCCGGGUUGGGCCGCGUAAACGGGUAUCCAAAUUAGAGGGUCGUUGAACUGAGUCUGACUCACUGAGUUUUGUGAUCGAGUCAAACAAAGGUGAGCUUGGGAAAUAAUGGCGUAGCUCUACUAGCUCAAGUUUGAGCUCUCCCAUAAUGAGUACAUCAAGCUUGUCCUCCAUCUCCUGCCUCCUCUGGAGAUCUCUCU
Long non-coding RNA from Arabidopsis thaliana (thale cress), 303 nucleotides. RefSeq annotates it as other RNA. The record is from RefSeq. Lineage: Eukaryota; Viridiplantae; Streptophyta; Magnoliopsida; Brassicales; Brassicaceae. The transcript has a single exon.